GUAACCUAAUCAAUUCUCUCCAAUCAGUUCGACCUUUCCAAAAUUUUGCAACCGUUUCCUUUCUGAACUUUAUUUCUAAUAGAAAACCCUAAAUGAUUUGCAUCAUCUACCAUAAAAAAUUACUCAUUGGAUUUCUCUCUGUCAUUUCGUUAUUUCAAAUGCUUCCUCAAUCGGUAAUUGUUUUGAGAAGAAUCCAUCAUAUAUUCUAGAUAAUCUUCUCUUUCUCCGAUUGUUUGGUGUGGAUUUCUCCCAAUUAGAGGUUUAAGGAUAUUCAAGAUAGUUCUUGAUUGGCCCUGCUCUCGGUUUCCCUGUAGUAAUUAUUGUGUUUCCUCCGACUAUUCAAUCACGAGAUUUGUGUUUCAGCCAUCUCACAUAUUUCUUAUAGAUAUUUAACACGUCUCAUUCGAUCUCCACGAUGCUUCGUUUCUGACGGAAUCGGCUAUGUUUUGCCCAUAACUUAGAAGAACAAUUCGAAAAUGUAGUCCUCCGAGUAAAUGGUACUUGAUGUUAGUAGCCCUGAUCUCCAUGAAAACGCUCUUCUUGAACUCUCCAAGUCAAUGGUUCAAACGAAACAUUCGGUGUAUGAGUAUGGUUGCGUCUAGGGUGAAUUGUCGGCUCAGGCGACAGAAGUUGCAGCCACGAUGAGGAGACAAGGAGGAGUACUGAUAUGUUGGGCCAACCCUGCAAAUUGUUCAGUCUUUUUGGCCACUGACUUGAUAUAUCAACUUUUAUGUAGCCUUUCACGCUCUACAAUCAGUUGUCGUUUUUAACGAGUCUAAUUAGCCGUAACAUAUGGGGUUAUAAAAUGCCCACCCCACCGGAUCGCGCCGGUUCCCCGCUACAAGGGUUAAUGUGUUCUUGAAGCAUUCCCCAUCCGACAACUAUGAGUUAAUGAAUUUUCCGAGGUUCAAUAGUUAUAUUGGAAGUUGUAUAAUUGACUCCAUCUCUAAGCUUCAUAAAAAGCUCAGGUGCGACCGACCACUUUCAUACGGGAAGGGGAUGCGACAGCGGCAACUGAGCUACAAACGGACUUAGAUCAGACUCUUGGAUCAUAGGCCCGUUUCUGCAUUAUUAUAUAUGAUAGAAAUUGGAGCGUUUACUUAAAAAAGUGGAAAUGGGCCCUUACAUUUACUAAUGCAGAAAUGGAAAACUAUGGACCGACCUGCUUAAAAUCAAAACAGGCAAGAGUUCCUUUUGUUUCUAGAGGUGGCAGAAUAUAGAGGUUUUUUUGAAGAUGUCUCAAAAUUCUUAUUGGCUCUUUAAUGAUAUAUAAAGCUAAACAUGUUCAUAUUUUAUUACUAUCAUCAUCUUUUUGUAGGGGUAUGAAUUUCUAACACAACAUGAAAACAUGACACGAACUGAACACGAAUUUCUUGGGUUUUGGUUUACCCUAAACGGGUUCGGGUCAGUUUCAGGUCGAACCCGCGAACCCGUUUAGCUUAAUAGGUCAGGUUCGGGUCAAACCUGUCUGGUUCGUGGGUUGGCCCGUUUUGUUUAUAAAUGUAAAAAUAUGAUGGAUUAUGUGAAUGUAUGUAUAAUUGGGGGUUUUAGAAUAAAGUAAAUA
Molecule: long non-coding RNA, 1564 nt
Organism: Helianthus annuus (common sunflower)
Lineage: Eukaryota; Viridiplantae; Streptophyta; Magnoliopsida; Asterales; Asteraceae
Exons: 8
Source: RefSeq, a predicted model, not a curated record